CUUCACCGACCCCAGGUACAAGGGCCGUUCGGGAUCGCGCCCUUGCCCGUAUGCCGCCUGCAGUGCCCCGGCCUC
This 75-nucleotide non-coding RNA is filed under the name Streptomyces sp. 604F. The record is from RNAcentral. Lineage: Bacteria; Bacillati; Actinomycetota; Actinomycetes; Kitasatosporales; Streptomycetaceae.